UCCCCCUUCAUCACCACCGUUUGGAUUCGAUUUGGAGGGAGCUUCUUCUUGGAUCUAGCCUCACCACCACCGUCUGUUUCUUCUACAACUCUUAAGUCCUCUCUCUUUGAACCAAGAUGGGGUUGAUUUUCUGUCCAUACUUUCUCCAUAUAUAACCAUCUUCCAUCAGGUUUUAUUUGCCCAUUUGUGCCACUGCUUCUCAUAGCUUGCACUCUCAUCAAUUCUUAAUUACCUGUUCAUCUUGGAUAAGCAUUACUACAUAAUUUGUUGUACUUUUAGUUAACCAAACUCGUUUCUCAAAUGUUUUUUUAUUUUAUAUCAGGUUGUGUGUGGAAAUUUUGGAAUUAAUGGAAGUAGUUUGGUUUAAUAACUUUGAAUUUUAUUGUUAUUUAAGUUAAUAUUAGAAUAUAUCUAGUGUUCUCUUUUUCUCUGCAUGCCAUGCCUUAAUAGUGACAAACAUAUUUCACCUUCAUUUUAGUAAAUAGUAAGAAUGAUAGGAACUCCAAGUAAACAAAAAUUGGUACUCUUUUUGUGUGAUGUUAAAGAAAAUUUAAUUCAAUUCAAUAACUACAUUUCCGUAAAAUGUUCAUGAUCUUUUUCUUUUCGUAUUUGUUUCUCUGGUUUGUAAAAUUGAAUGUCCAUACUAUAGAAUAAAUUGUCUAAUUGAAACUUUGUUAAUGAUUAUAUUGUUAAAGUUAGGAUGCUUGUAAGCUUGUAGAACAUGUUAUUAUUUAGCACUGUUUUUAAGGCUGAAGCACGAAACUUUUAAGGGAAACAAAAAUGUUAAACAUGAUUUAUUUACAUGCUUGACUAUACAUUGCAUUAAUACAGUACAUUAAAAUGUUAUGCUUGCAAGUUGAUGAGCUGAAUAUGCUCGCCUUUGAUGUAUGGACAUAAUGCCAUAGCUGUGAAUGAAUUUCAAAGUCAAGUAGAUUUAUGGCUAGUGGUGAGAAAGAAAAACCAUCCUUGCUGGCCAAGAAUGUUAAAGUGUCAUUUCCAAGUGGUUCUAUGGUUGCAAUCCUUGAUGAGUUGGAAGAAAUUGCAUCAAGACCUAGUCAAACUCCAACACUCCCCCACAUUGGUUCUACUAGUAAGAGAAAAAGAGGUCCUACCCAAUGUCUCAAGACUCAUGGUUUGAGAUAUGAUGAGCGUUUACCGGUUAAACUUAAUGUCCUUGGUCAACCUGUUGGCACUUAUCGAGCUACAUUGAGCAAUUAUUUGGGAACAUUAGCUAGGAAUGCACAUUUAGCUCCUCUAACUUUUACUAGUUGGAAAGGAUUGAAAGAACAUUGGGAUGACAUGUGGAAAACAGUAUUGUCAAAAUUUGAUAUUGAAGAACGUGCUAAAAAGUGGGUUUUAGGAAGCAUAUGUUCAAGUUGGAGGAACCACAAAUGUCGAUUGAAGACAAAGUAUUUUUUUCCAAAUAUGCCAGAUGAUUACAACUUCAAAAAUCGACCCCCAAGUGUUCCACUUGAGCAGUGGAAAAUUCUUAUUAAAUUUUGGAAAUCUGACAUAGCUAAGGUUCGCUGUGAGAAGAACAAAACAAGCAGAGCAAAAUUUACUUCUGUACAUACCACAGGAACAAAAACCUUUGCUGAAAUACGAUAUGAAGAGAUGAUGAAAAAUAUUGAUGGAAGAGAGCCAUCUCGUGCAGAAAUGUUCAUCAUGACACAUAAGCCUAAAAAUGAGGAAACCAAAGAGAUUAUUUCAAAGCUUGAGGAUGCAAUUUCUUCGCAUUCAAUAGAACCAGAGAAAAACUCAACCCGAGAUGAUGUAUUUUCCCAAGUCUUUGGAAGAGAUCGACAUGGUUAUGUGCGCACAUAUGGAAAAGGGGUUUCACCUUCCGAUCUAUGGGGAUCUAACUCCCGAGUUGGAAUACAAAAAUUAAUUGAUGAAGUUCAAAGGAAUGCUCAGGUUGAAAUACAAAGCAUGAAAAACAGAAUGCAAGAGGAAAUGGAAAUAAAGCUAAAAGAGCAAGUGAAGGAGCAAGUGGAAACCAAACUAAAAGAGCAACUAGAAGCAAUGAAAGUUGAGCUGCUAAACAACUUCAAAAUCGCUUUUACUCAAAUUCCAAGUUAUGCUCCAGAAGUAAUGGUUUCAAAUUUGAAUAAAGAGGAGGUGGACAUUGAAGAUGAUGGAUAAUGAUGACAACAUCUCUCAUAAAGGUUUAUUUAUUUCAUAGUAGUAAAUAUUGAUUUAGUAUUAAAUGUUUUGAUCUUUGCAUUGUUCCUUUGGUAGUUAUUGAAGAUCCUACAAGUGAGCUCGUAGAGAAAAAUGCACAUGCCUUGAUCUUUCCAUUCACUCAUACUAGCCCCAGGAGAAAAAAGGAAAAAGUGCAGAAAACUAACACCAAGUUAACUAAGAGGAAAUUAGAAGAUCUUAAUGUUGAAAUUGUCACACUUGAUAAAGAUCUUAGCAUUCUCAAACAUCCAUCCAAUGCCUUUGAGCUUUUCUUGCAAGAAUUUGCAAACAACUAUAAAGAAACAAAAGUUGAUUUAGAUAAUUUUGAAAGGGUUAAGAAAAAAGCUGUUAAGGCAUGGAACUCUCUGACAAAUAAAGAAUUAGAGUCUUAUUUCAAUGCAGCAACUAAACUCAAAAGAAAAUUACAUUUGAGUACAUUAAAGGAAAGGUUCUUCUUCUUCUUCUUCAUAACUUUAGUGUUGUUAACAUUCUUGAAUAUCAUGCCAUAAGAUGUUCUUAUUAUCCUCUUGAACAUCAUGCCAAAAGUAAUUGUUGCAAUCCAUACAUAGCCACUGCCCAUCAUUCCUAGCUUCUGAGCAAUGGAAAAAUGCUCAAACCAGUUUCAGGAUUAACAUCCCUCCAUCUGUAUAAGUAGUUUUUGUUUCCAUUUUUGUUGUUAUAUUGAUUGUUUGUUAAUGAACUUUAUCUAAGUAGUGUUGUUGAAGGAAAAGAAAUAGGAAAAAGAGAGCGGAAACCUAAAAUUCAUUUUGACGGGACUGACUUGAAAAAAUUGAAACAAGAGAAAUCUCACAAGUUUGCUAAAUGAUGCACAUACAUUGUUACAUGCAAAUGAGCUGAAGAAGCGGCUUGAAUAAGGUAAUGAUCGUAGGAAGUUCAGCAUCAAAAGAUUCUGAAUCAGGAAGAUGAUGAAGAAUAAGACUGAAAUUAAAGCUAAUUCAGUAUCAUAUCUCCAAGAAAUUCUGAACUGUCAAAAUAAAAAUCCAUGCAUUAGUAACAGAAGAAGAGAAGGACAGUUCAAUUUAUGUUGAUGGUUAUUAAGAUCAUAUUUUAAACUUGAGAUUUUCCAUGUUUUA
This is an unclassified non-coding RNA of Vigna unguiculata (cowpea), 3275 nucleotides long. The record is from RefSeq and is a predicted model, not a curated record. Lineage: Eukaryota; Viridiplantae; Streptophyta; Magnoliopsida; Fabales; Fabaceae.